ACAGAGGGUGCGAGCGUUGUUCGGAAUUACUGGGCGUAAAGCGCGCGCAGGCGGCCUUUUAAGUCUGACGGUGAAAUGCCGGGGCUCAACCCCGUGCCCGCCGCGGAUACUGGGAGGCUGGAGACAUGUAGAGGCAAGCGGAAUUCCGGGUGUAGCGGUGGAAUGCGUAGAGAUCCGGAAGAACACCGGAGGCGAAGGCGGCUUGCUGGGCAUUGUCUGACGCUGAGGCGCGAAAGCGUGGGGAGCGAACAGGA
This 254-nucleotide ribosomal RNA is filed under the name uncultured prokaryote. Its description in RNAcentral is "partial 16S ribosomal RNA". It matches the Rfam family "Bacterial small subunit ribosomal RNA", at positions 525 to 777 of the family's 1533-position model. The record is from RNAcentral.